UGGGGAAUUUUGGACAAUGGGCGAAAGCCUGAUCCAGCAAUGCCGCGUGCAGGAUGAAGGCCUUCGGGUUGUAAACUGCUUUUGUACGGAACGAAAAGCUUUGGGUUAAUACCCUGGAGUCAUGACGGUACCGUAAGAAUAAGCACCGGCUAACUACGUGCCAGCAGCCGCGGUAAUACGUAGGGUGCAAGCGUUAAUCGGAAUUACUGGGCGUAAAGCGUGCGCAGGCGGUUUUGUAAGACAGAGGUGAAAUCCCCGGGCUCAACCUGGGAACUGCCUUUGUGACUGCAAGGCUAGAGUACGGCAGAGGGGGAUGGAAUUCCGCGUGUAGCAGUGAAAUGCGUAGAUAUGCGGAGGAACACCGAUGGCGAAGGCAAUCCCCUGGGCCUGUACUGACGCUCAUGCACGAAAGCGUGGGGAGCAAACAGG
This 429-nucleotide ribosomal RNA is filed under the name uncultured Comamonas sp. RNAcentral's name for it is "bacterial SSU rRNA". It matches the Rfam family "Bacterial small subunit ribosomal RNA", at positions 355 to 776 of the family's 1533-position model. Lineage: Bacteria; Pseudomonadati; Pseudomonadota; Betaproteobacteria; Burkholderiales; Comamonadaceae. The record is from RNAcentral.